RNAcentral lists this ribosomal RNA (404 nucleotides) under uncultured bacterium. RNAcentral's name for it is "bacterial SSU rRNA". It matches the Rfam family "Bacterial small subunit ribosomal RNA", at positions 28 to 428 of the family's 1533-position model. The record is from RNAcentral.
GACGAACGCUGGCGGCGUGCCUAACACAUGCAAGUCGUACGGGACCGGGGGCAACUCCGGUUCAGUGGCAGACGGGUGCGUAACACGUGAGGAACUUGUCCGGUGGCGGGGGAUAGCCGGCCCAACGGCCGGGUAAUACCGCAUACGCUCGUUCGGGGGCAUCCCUGGGCGAGGAAAGCAGCCGCAAGGUUGCGCCGACGGAGGGCCUCGCGACCUAUCAGCUUGUUGGCGGGGUAACGGCCCACCAAGGCGACGACGGGUAGCUGGUCUGAGAGGGCGACCGGCCACACUGGGACUGAGGACACGGCCCAGACUCCUACGGGAGGCAGCAGUGGGGAAUCUUGCGCAAUGGGCGAAAGCCUGACGCAGCGACGCCGCGUGAGGGAUGACGGCCUCGGUUGUAA